UCCCUGAUAGCUCAGUUGGUAAAGCAUCUGCCUGCAAUGCAGGAGACCUCAGUUCAAUCCCUGGGUAGGGAA
Non-coding RNA from Bos taurus (domestic cattle), 72 nucleotides. NCBI's taxonomy places the organism in Eukaryota, Metazoa, Chordata, Mammalia, Artiodactyla, Bovidae. The record is from Rfam.